This 460-nucleotide ribosomal RNA is filed under the name uncultured bacterium. Its description in RNAcentral is "partial 16S ribosomal RNA". It matches the Rfam family "Bacterial small subunit ribosomal RNA", at positions 338 to 795 of the family's 1533-position model. The record is from RNAcentral.
CCUACGGGGUGCAGCAGUGAGGAAUAUUGGUCAAUGGCCGGGAGUCUGAACCAGCCAAGCCGCGUGAAGGACGAAUGCCCUAUGCGUUGUAAACUUCUUUUAUAUAGGAAUAAAAUCAUGCUCGAGUGCGUUACUGUAUGUACCAUAUGAAUAAGGAUCGGCUAACUCCGUGCCAGCAGCCGCGGUAAUACGGAGGAUCCGAGCGUUAUCCGGAUUUAUUGGGUUUAAAGGGAGGGUAGGCGGAAUGUUAAGUCAGUUGGGAAAGUGUGGGGCUCAACCGUAACAGUGCAGUUGAAACUGGCAGUCUUGAGUACAGGAGAGGUAUGCGGAAUGCGUGGUGUAGCGGUGAAAUGCUUAGAUAUCGCGAAGAACUCCGAUUGCGAAGGCAGCUCACUGGAGUGCAACUGACGCUGAGGCUCGAAAGUGUGGGUAUCGAACAGGAUUAGAUACCCGUGUAGUC